CCCAAGUAGGGCGUACUCCACAAUGACCACUUCAGAUGUGGCCAUGGAGGAUGCUGAACAAAGAAGAACUAUCCAGUGUGUGACGCCAGGGAGCCACCACUAACAAUAGCUUCAUGCCAAUGAAUCAUCCCUCAGUUGAGGACGACGUGCCUGCAGAGAUUCAUCAAGACUGCUCCAGCUCGUGAUUGGAAAGGGAGAGAAAGAAAUGCUGGGACAUCCAGCUGUCACACAGCUAACCGGAAAGCCAUGUGGUCAAACAGAGGCACAUUGGAGCUCUUAGGUGGAAAAAUGGGUGCCCACUUAAAAGCUACACAACCUGGAACACGGUGUCAGGACACUUUAAUUCUUUCUCCUCCUGUCCUCAUCUGGUAGCCUCAUGCAAUUCAGAGGAAACACAAAGCGGAGCAUUCCCAAAGGGCUCACAUUGUUUGGGAUUUGUCCACGUUGACUCUUCAGGCUGCAGUUGCAUUUGCUGGAUACCUGCUAUGUGCCAAAUCUCAUCUCCCUCCCUUCCAUCAAAACAAACAAAUCCCAAUAGGGAGUAGUGAGGUUAUAAAAGGAUUACCUCAUUUAAACUUAUUAUAAACACACAUACACACACCCCACAGGUCCCAACUGCAGAACUAUUAAAUCAACUUGAAGUAAUGACAGGUGGAUAGGCAGAUGGAACAAAGUACUUCCCAUAAACAUAGAGUCGGAUUUGAACCCCUAUCGCACAGCCAGGCAGGGGCUACUCACAAAGUUAACUCUCAUUCCUCUUUGCCCUCAUUACUCCCCAUAACUUGCUCAUCUUUCUGUUGUAGAAUUGGUCACUCCGGAUUGUACUUAUUUGUUUAACUUCCUUUCUAUCACCACACUGAGCAUCUUAAGGGCCACAUCAAAGCUUUUUCUAUCAGUACACCCAGAGCUCAG
RNAcentral lists this long non-coding RNA (912 nucleotides) under Homo sapiens (human). RNAcentral describes it as "non-protein coding lnc-OPCML-6:4". The record is from RNAcentral. Lineage: Eukaryota; Metazoa; Chordata; Mammalia; Primates; Hominidae.